Rhagoletis zephyria (snowberry fruit fly) is the source of this 1480-nucleotide long non-coding RNA. RefSeq lists it as uncharacterized. The record is from RefSeq and is a predicted model, not a curated record. Lineage: Eukaryota; Metazoa; Arthropoda; Insecta; Diptera; Tephritidae.
CGAACUCAACGGACGUACCAGCCGGUUUUUGAUACCUGCCGCGUGCCAGUGUUUACGUGUCGCUCAGCUCAUUUCUGUACUACCUUCUUGGGCGUUUGCUUUUAAAUUGUUUACAAACCGGUUUUUGCCAAGCAACGACAAAUGAAUCCGGAAAAGUUCAAAUUGCUUGAGCACAUGAGUCAUGACGGGUGAAUAUGUUGCCUUUAGCCGUAAUUUGACAAGCACUUGUUGACAGUUGUAGCAUCUGAUACUAUUUUGCUCAUUCGUCUACUACCUUUUUAGACAGCAUCACAAAAUGUGUAUCUCGCACACCCUGAAAAAAACUCGUGCGAAAAAUGUCUCCCUCAGUUUUCUUGGUGCUUCCAAAAGCGAUAGUUUGCUGUGUUGUCAAAUUUGUGAUUAAAGCCAGAGUUGGCCGUUUAAAACCUGUCUCAACUAAAUUUAGUAUAUUUUCUGAACAAAACUUGUCUAAAACGAAGUGUAUGCAGGCGUGCAGAAAGAUUGCGAAGCGAGUAGAAAGUGUGUGAGAUCAUCAACCGGUGACUGAGGGAAAACUGGAAAAGCUACAAAGAUUGACGUCUUUGGAUUUUGGCCUUUUCUUUUUGGCGCAAUUGCAUAGAUUGUCUGGUGUGCGAAUGCAAUGGGACGAUGGUAAAUUUGUAGGAUCGCGUUGGCUGGAGGCGCCUUCAACAUAUCUGUGUGCGAGCGAGUGCGUCGAUUAUUGAACUUCUUUUGUUUGAUGAGGCUCCAGUGUUGAUGCUUCCCGUGAGGAAUCUGUAGGUACCAAAUAUCUAUUGGCUCACUAACUUGGCUAUGGGUUUUUAAGCCGCGCUUACCUGUUGGUCUUCUUUGGCUAUCUGAAAUCUGUUCUCAAUUUCUGCUGUGCCGCACUGUUACCUUGUUUUAAAGUGUUUUUUAACGCGUUCUUGCCUAUCAUCGUAUGUGCCUACAUACAUACGUACGUAGAUGGAAGUAAGAGAAUCUACAAAAAAUUUGAAUCAUUCCUCGCCAGCGUUGGUGGAAACUAUCACCUUCAUUAUCGAAUUUGUGGCUGGUAAUUAAAUAUGCGUUUGAAUAAGAAGCCAGUUCAAAGAACGUGUUUUAAGCUUCGAUUUUGUGAGUGAAGAAUGGCUCAAGGUAACCUACAAAAAUCCAGGUACGCGCGCUUUGCAUUUGAAUUAUUUCAUUUAGGUUAAAAUGUAGUUCACGUAAAUGCCCUGGCAAUUAUUUAAACGAUACCUAAAGUAAUGCUAAAGAGCAUAAAACACCAUGGAUUAGUGCAUCUACCAAAAGUACAAGCGAUCGCUUGCCAUUCGAAUACAAAUCGCUCUAAAGAGUUAUUUUUGUGAAAUCAAAAUAUGUAUGUACGUAUUCAAUAAGUGGCUUUGACCGGUAGAAAGCCUCAUUCCGGAUUCGAAACAUCGCUGUCCCAACGACAGCGCUUUUUCACAGUAAAUAUUCUAAAUCGUAUCUGACGAAU